GCGGGCGCGCGGGCGAGCCGCGGUGACCCGGCGGCUGAGGGUCGGCGCGAAGAGUGCUGUGCUGCGGGGGGCGCGCGUCCUGCGCUUUGCCCUCUGUUCUCCCGUUACCUCGCCUUGGCGGUGCAGCGUGGCCCCAGCGCAGGGCCGUGACCUUCGAUGAUGCGGACGUGGGCUUCAGAGACCAAGGGUGGAGUCACCUGGACUGGCCUGGGAAGGCCUUUGACACGGACACGCCGGGGCGGGGGCGCCGGGUCAGGACACCCCUGUGGCCCCCAGGCAGUGCGACUGGAAGGCCUCAUUGCGGCUUCUCACUAACUGUGGACCUCUCUCGGCAUUUUCGGCAUUUUCCGUUUCCAAUGUUGUGGAACGCUUCAGGGUCUGGAGAGCUUCCAGAACUUUCUGGAUAGCAGAGCUCAACCUUCUUCUGUUUUUGAGGCACAAAAAGGAUUUGCCUGCCAGGUCCAUCCCAGCCUCAGAGUAUGUUAUGCCCCUCAGAGCAUAUUUCUCCAACUUCUCUCGAAUACAGGGAAUCGGUCUUUAGUUCCUUUUAUCACUAUAAUCCUCUGUCAUCAGAAUGAUUUAAUUAGAUUAAAUUUGGAGGGCUAUUAAGGUGAAAGAUUCGCAUCUGGAGUUUCUCAGCCCCCACCCCCACCCCCAUAUUUCGUAGUUACAAAAGAAGUCCCCCAGUAUAAAUGUUGGAAAAAGUAUGUACUAAUGGAUGGAGUUGAAAUCCAACCUUGAUAUGAAAAAGUGGCAGAAAAGAGAUUCCCAGGGUAUCUGGAAUGCCAGAAACAUAGCCCAGGCUUUCUACCCAUUUUCUGUAUUUCUCUGGUGAUCAGCAGAAAAACCUUCAUCUGAGAAGCUUAUUUUAGGUUAGCAAGGACAGCAAGAUAGUGGGAAGCUGGGAAGUCUACAGUUGGUCAUGGAAAGAUAGGAAAGAAGGAAGCAAAUGGAAUAUCUGGAGCCAGUGAGAAGGAGCCAAGGGGCAGGAGCAAGGAGGAGGACAGUUUGCCUGCCUGGAGCCAUGAAAUUAGGGGGUUCGUCAGCAGAGUUGCCCUCAUACCCUGAUUCCUUAACAUGCUGACCCUUUUCCUUGCCCAUAAAUAGGAUUUUCAGUCUAUAAAACUGAAGCAGUAAGCUAUUUGGAAAGUGGGGAAGCCUUGUGUAUCUGGACUGGACAAAACCAUAGCCAGUAACCUAUGCCCAACAUGGGGCGCAAACUCAGGACCGUGAGAUCAAGAGCACAUGCUCUGCUGACUGAGCCAGCCAGGUAUUCAUAGCACUUACAGUUUUUAUGUGUUCUAUUUAGAAUCUGCAUUUUCAUUUUUCUUUGGAAAUGGAGGCAGAGUAGAGAAUGGGAGUUUGGAUCUGGACCCCCUCAAAUUCUCAGAACCCUCAUGUUCAAAUAAGCACCAAUCUGAAUCUGGCCCCUAUUCUGACUUUGGACUGAGAAAAGGUCUCGGUGAUGGCAGUGGGACCUCCAACCCUCCUUCCUCACCUCUGUCCUCUUAGUGAAAUUACUGGGACUUCUCAUCCCAGUGAACAGGAAGAGGACAGACUGUUUUGCCUAUAGAAGGUGAAGACCUUUCCUGGUUGCUUGAAGGGCCAAGAGCCCAUUCCUGUUCAACUUCUGGUUGCUGGGGCUUGAUACCUGGCCCCAGUGUAGGAUUGAUGCACUCCCUAUGACUCAGACAGCUUGGGUCAGUCCUCUUACAGAUUUGCUAAAAGCAAAAAGAAUAACUUCAACCAUCAGACAUUGAAACAGUUGGUGCUUUAUUGCUGAUAAAAUUAAUUUAAACAUUUGAUUGUCAAAUUCUCUUUAAAAACAAAAUCCAAUAAAGCCACUGUUUUUAUUCCUUUUUAUCUCCAUGCUCUUAUGAAUAGACAAAGUUGCUAGUAAUGAACCUCUUCCUGGCUUAAGAAUGAAAAAAUCACACCUUCCAAAAAAACCUACCAUAUCUAUUGAAAUAGUGCUACUGGGACUACAAAUUAUUAUUAUUAUCAUUUUAAAGAUUUUAUUUAUUUAGAGAGAUCGAAUGUGUGCAAGUGGGGGGAGGGGCAGAGGGAGAUAGAAUAUCAAGCAGACUCUGAGCUGAGCAUAGAGCCUGAUGUGGGGCUCGAUUUCAUGACCCUAAGAUCACUAUCGGAGCUGAAAUCUAGUGUUGGACACUCAACUGACUGUGCCACCCAGGUGCCCCUCAGGAUUACAAAUGAAGUAACCAAUCAGAAUCGUCGAUAUUAAAUUCUUUAAAAUUUACAGACUUUGAAGAUCACUUUCCCAGGAUGUAGUAAGUGUCUGAAGUCCAGGAGUUUGAAAGACUCCUUAAAAAUAACCUCAGCAAGAACACUUUCGGGACAUUGUAUGGUGCUUGCUUUUCUGCAGCUGUAGAAGAGAGAAAUAUUUUUUCCUCCCGAUUUCGCUGAGACUUUUUUCACCGGUAGUUGGGAAGUUCUGUAGUUUCAAAGCCAGACUUGGGAUUCUGUUAAUUAGUACAGGAGGAGGGAAGAGAGAGGCAAAUUUAAGAAGCUAAAAAUUCACAACAUAGGAAAAGGGCUGGGUAGGAUAAUUGUCAAAAAGACCAUGGGAAUGUAAAGGAGUCCGUUUUCCAUCUGUAGAAUGCAGAAGACACUUGUUUGGUAGAACAUGCAUCAAAUUUAAGUCCCAUCUGGUGUCAGCUAUGGACGUGGUCUUUGGCCUGAAAUCAUGGCCUCCUGUCAUUAUUGUAUCUGUGGCUUCUGACAUUAUAUUGCGGCUGUAACCCCUGGAGUCCAGUGGGAAAAGGGGAACAGAGGUUCACUGGUGGCAUAGACUCUGACCCUGCUGAGUUCAGAUGGAGCUGCUACUCAGAAUAGCUCCCUCCCUCCCCUCCUCACUGAGGCUGGGGUGGUGUCAGGGAUCUCUGGAGGACCAGGGACUGAGAGAUCAACUAACCUUUCCUGCCUUUCCUUCUGAAACACUUUUCACUCUAUCAGCUCUGGGAAGCUGGGCCCUCAUCCUGGUUGUAAAGCCUCUCUGCUUUCAGUCCAGGGAUUUCAGAGAUGAAGAUCCCAAACUCUUGUGGGUAGUAAGCCCUUGAAAUAGGUCUUCUGGAUUAUUUUCUAGUAAACAGUGGUUUGAAAAGAGUGGUUUCUUCCUGCCACGUAAGUAGAUGGUUUUCAGGUGAAGAGCUGGAAUUUACCCAAGGCCUCAGGGAAUGCUUUGAUUUUAACUGGGUAGCCGCAUAUCCCAGUUUGUUUGAGGCAUUUCCAGUCAAGACCCAGUGUCCUGGUGUAAUUAUUAAUAGCAUUCCCUUCCACUCUCAGAGGUAAGAAGUAUCCCCAUUGUGACAACAAAUUAUAUGGUCCCUGGAGUUCUAAGGCAGCUCACAUUUGCUGAAGGAUUAGUUCCUACUCUCUGAAUUACCUCUUCAGUCGUUCAGGCCGGAAUCAGUCAGACUGACUUGCCUUCAGACCCCUCAACAGGCAAGCUUUGGAAUCUCUCUCACCACAGGUAGGUCAUACAGUUGGUUUCCAUCAUUAAUACAGCCUCUGGCAUGUGAGUAUGGGAACUGUAGGUUGCUGUGUGCUUUAACAACUUCCUCCCUGAGGGAACACUGACAAAUAUUUGAAACCCAGUCAUAAACACCCUAAAGAGAAUGAAGCAUUGACUGGAGUGGCUUAUUAACAACCUCUAAAAUCCCCAUCACUUUAAAUUCUUUUCUGUGAGACUUUUUUGUUGUUGUUGGAACAUUUUAUUUAUUCAUGAGACACAGAGCGUGCCAUGGGGAGCCUGAUGUGGGAUUCAGUCCCAGGACCCUGGGAUCAUGAGCUGAGCCCAAAGCAGACGUUCAACCACUGAGCCACCAGGUGCACCUUCUGUGGAUACUUUUUAAUGCACGGUUCAGGCAGCUCCAGGGCAGAUGUGCUGUUGGGCCAGUGCAGGCUUUUAAAAUAAGCUGAACUGGGGCACCUGGCUGGGUCAGGCAGCAGAGCAUGCAACGCUAGAUAUCGGGGUUGUGAACUCGAGCCCUCAGGUGGGUGUAGAGAUUACUUAAAAAUGAAAUGUUUAGGGGUACCUGGGUGGGUCAGUUAAGUGUCUGGCUCUUGAUUUCAGCUCAGGUCAUGAUCUCAGGGUUGUGAGAACGGGCCCUCCAA
Molecule: long non-coding RNA, 4134 nt
Organism: Canis lupus familiaris (dog)
Lineage: Eukaryota; Metazoa; Chordata; Mammalia; Carnivora; Canidae
Exons: 4
Source: RefSeq, a predicted model, not a curated record